AACUCAGAAAGAAUUUAAUUAGCUUGCUCAACAUUACACAGCUGGUAAUGGCCUGACUCAGCAUAGGGCAUGGACAAGCAAUUCAGAAAAGAAGAAACAGAGUGACCAGUAGACUGGUAUUAGAGAAGCACGUAUUAAAAGAAUGACAUGCUUGGAGUUCCCACUGUGAUGCCGUGGGUUAAGAAUCUGACGGCAGCAGCUAAGGGUCCCUAUGGAGGCAUGGUUUCAGCUCGGCAGUGGGCUAAAGGGUCUGAUGUCCAAUCCCUGGCCCUGGAACUUCCAUAUGCCUUGGAUGCCGCCAUAAAACAAAAAACAGUUACAUACUAUGUACACCUAUCAAGUUGUCAGCAAUCUAAAAGUCUGGCAAUACUAAUGUGGCAAAAGAUGUGAUGGGUAAGUAAUACAACCUCUAUGCAAGCAUUUGGGGACUAUCUAGUGAAGAUGAGAAUGCACACAUGCUAUGCCUCAGCCACAUAGCAUGGCAGUGUCCACUCAUGAGAAACUCUCAUGUGCACAAGGAGACGUGUGCAAGGAUGUCCAGUUUCAGUGACUUUCAAAAAUGCACGAUGCAAAAGUCCAUCACCGAAGGAACAGAGGUUCUACAAUGGAGUAUCCUUAUAAAUGUGCCCUUACGGUCAGAGCUUAAAGGCACAAUGAUGAGUGAAAAAAGCAAAUUAUGCCUUUUUCUUCUAGAGAGAUGGAGCAGAGGUACUUUUUCCUAUUCUUCCCACUAAAAACACUGUGUGUUACCCAGAAAAUGUACAAAGAUUCUGAAAGGUGGAGAGAAGAAGGCAGACUGGUUGGGGACCUCAGGACCCAAAGAAUGACCUGGUGGUAAAUUCCCUUUGCCUCAAAGAUCCCAGACUGGAUACUGCAAAAGCCAGCAACUCUGAAACAGCAAUGAAUGCAAACCAAAACAGCCCUAGCAAAAGUCAGCCCUCUCCAUCUGAGAACCAAGAAAGGGUCAGCCUAGCAAGACAGAACAUUUUUAGAGAAUAAACACUGUGCUUCAGCAAAAUACCAUAGAUCAUGCUAUUGCCCCAUCCCAACCCCAGCCAACAAAGGCUGAGUGGGAGCCUAGAUGUUCACUCUUGCCAGCCUAUAGGAAGAUGUGUGACUGUACUGCCGUGGUGACGUUAGCAGAGACUGAGUGAGGGGCCAGGACUUCCCUCUCCAUGGAGGGGUAACCAACCCCUCGCAUGGUGUCCUGGAGACCAUGUGAGAAGCCCUGCACUUGCACCCCCCCACCCCCCAGCAGAAAUGACAGAGCUCUCAUUGCUCACUGGUGUCACUGGAGUCCACAUGGGGAACAGUAAGAAAGCACUGCUAACUCACUCAGCCAGCAAAGUGCCAGGGAAGGUUGGCGGGAAGCCAGAACUCCCACGGCCACCAGCAGCGAUGAGGACCCACUCCUACUUCAGUGUCAGUGGAGUCCAUCUGUGAUCUGAGACUGGUGUUCACACCCGAUUGGACACUUCUCUUACCGGAGCAAUGUCAGAGAAAGCCAGCUAAAACAUAAAGUUUAAAAAGAUUUGGAGAUGGGAAACACAAUACACAAAAUGUCCAGGUUUCAAAUGAAAAUCACUCAGCACACCGAGAACCAGGAUGAUCUCAAAUGAAUAAUAAGUUAAUCGAUGGAUACCAAUACCAAGAUGACCAAGGGGUUGGAAUAAUCAUACAAAGGUGUUGGAGCAGCCAUCAUAAAAAUACUUCAACAAGCAGUUACAGACACGCUUAAAACAAAUGAAAAAUAGUAUCACCAGAGAUUUCUCACUCAUCACAUGUAGAAGAAAGGUCAUAUGAGGACACAGCAAGAAGGUAGCCAUCUACAAGGGAGGGAGAGAGUCCCGCUAGAGCUCAACCCUGCUGGCACCUUGCUCUUGGACUUCAAGCUCCCAGAACUGUGAGAAAUAAAGAAGCCCCUGCCCCAGUCUGUGACAUUCCAUUAUGACAACCUAAGCAGACUGAUACAGAGCUCAAUAGAAUGCAUGUUCUAAGUUGUCUUUCUCUCUUUUGGGGAUGAAUAUAUUUCAUAUGAACUGUUUGGACUCUCUAAAAAACAAACAAACAAAAAAGUCUCAGCAAAGCCAAAUUGGAAUUUUAGAACUGAAAGAUGUGAUAAGCAAAAUUUACAACUCAGUGGAUGGGCUUAACAGCAGAAUGAAGGGGAGAAAGGAAUGAAGCAGUGCGCUGAAAGACAGAACAAUAGAAAUGAUACAAUCAGAACAACAGAAAGAAAAUUAGAAAAAAAUAAUGAGCAGAGCCUCAGGGACCUGUAAGAUAAUAACAAAAGAUCUAACAUGUACACAGAAUUCUCAAAUCAAUAAUUAAAAAAUCCAAUCAGAAAACAAGAAGAUACAGAGAUGCCAGCUAAACACGUGAAAUGUGUUUAACUUCAUUAGCCAGGAAGGAGGAAAGGAAUCAUUUAUUGAGUCCUGGUGUGGCACAUAUUGUAUUAGGCAUUUGUGCCAUUUCCUUAGACAAGGAUCCCGGGAGUUUAUGGUCAGCCGCAUAAGCAGAGAAAGUCUCGGACAAAUAGUAUUCAGGAUAGAAAGUGGUAAGUGUCUCAGUAGGAAGAAAAUGAUGUCAUCUGGGGUUCACAACUUCUAGCCAACAUCCCUCAGGAAAGAUAUGGCUGACAUUUCAUGUAAAGAAUGAGUAGAUUUGUGGCAAGAGGAAACAUGGCGAGAAGAUAUUUCAGAGGGAGGAAGAAGCAGGACCAAGCCUUGGAGUUGGGAGCGCAUGAGAGUUCACUGGGGUUGGCACAGCCUGGGUGAAAAGGAGAAGAUAAAGGGAAUGCUGGAACAAACUAAAUGGACCUUCUCCUAGGCUGCCAUGGAGAAGAGUCAAGUGCUCAUUCUGUCAUUCUGAUGGCUGAUGAAACAUAGAGACUGGAGUUAAUGGAAGAAAGCUAAGGACCCAAGGAGUAGCUGUCCAUCUUCCCUCCCUGAAGAAAUAUGUGUGCCAGAAGAUAAUCUACCUACUAUAGAUUCAUUUGAUUUCCAAGCUCCUCUUUGAAAAAGUCAAUACUCUCACAGGUUUGGGAUUGGAAGAAUGGUGGUGAAAUGAUUUUUGGAGUUAUGCUUUAUCUUUGUCAACCAAAUGUUUCAAGAGUAGCUUAUUCCAUUUGCAAGCUUUUCUUUUUUUUUUUUUUUUAUGGCUGCACCCAUGGCAUAUGAAAGUUCCCAGGCUGGGGGUCGAAUUGGAGCUGCAGUUGCAGGCCCCUGCCACAGCUACAGCAACGCCAGAUCUGAGCCACAUCCACGACCUGCACAGCAGCUUGUGGCAAUACCAGAUCCUUAACCCACUGAGUGAGGCAAGGGAUCCAACCCGCAUCCUCACGGAUACCGGUUGGGUUCUUAACCCACUGAGCCACAACAGGAACUCCCAUUUGCAAGCUUCUAGAUAAUCCAUCAGAGUAACAGGUAAGGAAAAUAUCAGAGCCAUCUCUCUAAAGGGAUUUGCUCAUGUCCGUGGAAAUUUCCAUCACAGAACUUCAACAUAAAUUUAUAUAAUAAGUAUGUGACCCUGAGCACAGAGGAAAAAUAGAUUCUUUUCUGAAAGCUUGAAUUAAAAAAUUGAAGAUCAGCAGAGCCACCUUCCCAUCAAGCCUAGCAAAUAAUUUCAACACUGAGCAUCAGCAUAUCUACCCGACUGCCCAACCCCAUUCUAUGGAACAGAUUAGUUCUGGAUAUAGAACAUUGCUUCUCUAACUUUAAUGGGCAUGCAGAUUAAUGCUGAUCUCUUUGAACUACAGAUUCUGAUCCAGUAGGUCUAAGUGGGACCCAAGAUUCUCAUUUCUAAAAGCUCUCAAGUUCCCGUCGUGGCUCAGUGGUUAACGAAUCCGACUAGGAACCAUGAGGUUGCGGGUUCAAUCCCUGGCCUUGCUCAGUGGGUGAAGGAUCCGGUGUUGCCGUGAGCUGUGCUGCAGGUCGAAGACGCGGCUCAGAUCCCGCGUGGCUGUGGCUCUGGUCCGAUUCGACCCCUAGCCUGGGAAUGUAGGUGUGGCCCUAAAAAGCAAUAAAAUAAAAUAAUAAAAUCUCUAAAAGCUCUCAGAUGCUGACAGUGCUGGUGCCCGGACCACAUGUGAAUCCUGAAAAUACAGACUGGGCUAUGGCACCAUGUAGAACUGUCCAAAUUCCAACUAAAAAACUUGCCAGUUUUGUGGCCUUGGGAAAAUUGUUUAACCUCUCUGAGGCUCAGUUUUCUCAUCAGUAAAAUGGAAAUAUAAAUACAUAUCUUGCAAAAUUAGUGGGAAGAUAAGAAGUAAUGUAUUAAAAACCAUUUGGCCAAGGUCCUGACACAGAGUAGGCACUCAACACAUGAUAACAGGUAGUACUUAGGGUCCAUGGGCAUCCUUAUCAAAGAGAAUCUGCCUGCUAUGUAUUUGCAGCAAGAGAGAGUUGUGAGUUACUGUUUUAGCACAUAAUUAAGAGAGAGAUUUUCAUUGCUUCCCAUUGGGGAAAAAAAGUCUCCAGGUAUUCAUUUGCUCUGUGGGAAUAUUUGCAUUCCCUCGUGGGCUGUUCUUGGUUUAUAUUCAUGUGCUUCUAUCUGUUGGAUCUUAAUAUUUGAUGUAUUUUAACAGUUGGUUUAACAGUGAGCGGCAUAUCCACAGGAAGGCCUAUUUCAGAGAAUAAUCAAUGAGCAUAAAACAACUUAAAAUGAUGAUAUGAGGUUAACUGUGACAUUCAUUCAAUAAUUUUACAAGGCUGGUCUUUUUCAUCUUUAACCCAUCCAUACAAAGCAGGAACUGGAGAGGUUUUGGUUUUACAGCCACACCUGCGGCAUGUGGAUGUGCCCGGGCCAGGGGUCUAAUUGGAGCUGCAGGUUCCAGCCUAUACUACAGCCACUGCAAUACCGGAUCAGAGCUGUAUCUGCAACCUAUGCCACAGCAUGCAGCAAAGCUGGAUCCUUAACCCACCAAGUGAGGCCAGGGAUGGAAACAGCAUCUUCACAGCUUCCAUGUUGGGUUCUUAACCCACUGAACCACACGGGAACUCCAGACUGCAGAGGUUUGGGGAGCUAUCAAGCACUGCCACUUGUGUGUGAUCCUCCAGUGGGUUAGUAGAAAAUAGGGUCCAUGAUGGCUUGUAUACAUAGACUUAGUGUACCCUGUACAGUUGGUUAGAAGUCUCCCUCCUGUGUGGCCACAGGAGAUAGGCUCCUGUGGGGCUUGGAAGCACCAGUCAUGUUGACACUUGCAAGUAUUCCAUGUUUUACUCUAUUUGGUUGUCUCUCUCUGCUUGGUUGGUGGAGAGUAGGUGGGGUGCAGAUGAGGGGAGUUGCUGCACAGCUGGUGGCCCAGCCUCAUUAGAGGCCCAGCCAGAUCCACAGCUUCCCUCUCCCAAGAGUUCAGCACCUCUUUGGUUUCCUCAUUUUCAUAAUAUUUGAACUAUAUUUCCAACAAUUCAAAACAUGGUUCUUAAAAAUGCCCCCAGCUUAGGAGUUCCCACCAUGGCUCAGUGGUUAACAAAUCCCACUAGGAACCAUGAAGUUGCAGUUUUGAUCCUGGUGUCGCUCAGUGGGUUAAGAAUCCGACAUUGCUGUGAGCUAUGGUAUAGGUCACAGAUGUGGCUCAGAUCUGGCGUUGCUGUGGCUAUGGCAUAGGCUGGCGGCUGCAGCUCCGAUUAGACCCCUAGCCUGGGAAAACUCCAUAUGCCACAGGUACGGCCCUAGAAAAGACAAAAAAAAAAAAAAAAAAAAAAA
This 5706-nucleotide long non-coding RNA is filed under the name Sus scrofa (pig). RNAcentral describes it as "lncRNA (ENSSSCG00055021696.1)". The record is from RNAcentral. Lineage: Eukaryota; Metazoa; Chordata; Mammalia; Artiodactyla; Suidae.